GGGCAUGUGGUGUAACGGUGAACACAAGAUCCUGAUAAGAUCUAGACCGCAGUUCAACUCUGCGCUUGCCUAC
Molecule: transfer RNA, 73 nt
Filed under: Arthrobacter phage Mimi
Lineage: Duplodnaviria; Heunggongvirae; Uroviricota; Caudoviricetes
Also listed under: 5 other names
Description: tRNA-Ile
Rfam family: tRNA
About the family: Transfer RNA (tRNA) molecules are approximately 80 nucleotides in length. Their secondary structure includes four short double-helical elements and three loops (D, anti-codon, and T loops).
Source: RNAcentral